AGAGUUUGAUCCUGGCUCAGGAUGAACGCUGGCGGCGUGCUUAACACAUGCAAGUCGAACGAAACACCUUAUUUGAUUUUCUUCGGAACUGAAGAUUUGGUGAUUGAGUGGCGGACGGGUGAGUAACGCGUGGGUAACCUGCCCUGUACAGGGGGAUAACAGUCAGAAAUGACUGCUAAUACCGCAUAAGACCACAGCACCGCAUGGUGCAGGGGUAAAAACUCCGGUGGUACAGGAUGGACCCGCGUCUGAUUAGCUGGUUGGUGAGGUAACGGCUCACCAAGGCGACGAUCAGUAGCCGGCUUGAGAGAGUGAACGGCCACAUUGGGACUGAGACACGGCCCAAACUCCUACGGGAGGCAGCAGUGGGGAAUAUUGCACAAUGGGGGAAACCCUGAUGCAGCAACGCCGCGUGAGUGAAGAAGUAUUUCGGUAUGUAAAGCUCUAUCAGCAGGGAAGAUAAUGACGGUACCUGACUAAGAAGCUCCGGCUAAAUACGUGCCAGCAGCCGCGGUAAUACGUAUGGAGCAAGCGUUAUCCGGAUUUACUGGGUGUAAAGGGUGCGUAGGUGGCAGUGCAAGUCAGAUGUGAAAGGCCGGGGCUCAACCCCGGAGCUGCAUUUGAAACUGCAUAGCUGGAGUACAGGAGAGGCAGGCGGAAUUCCUAGUGUAGCGGUGAAAUGCGUAGAUAUUAGGAGGAACACCAGUGGCGAAGGCGGCUUACUGGACUGUAACUGACGUUGAGGCUCGAAAGCGUGGGGAGCAAACAGGAUUAGAUACCCUGGUAGUCCACGCGGUAAACGAUGAUUGCUAGGUGUAGGUGGGUAUGGACCCAUCGGUGGCGCAGCUAACGCA
This 854-nucleotide ribosomal RNA is filed under the name uncultured bacterium. RNAcentral's name for it is "bacterial SSU rRNA". It matches the Rfam family "Bacterial small subunit ribosomal RNA", at positions 8 to 859 of the family's 1533-position model. The record is from RNAcentral.